RNAcentral lists this ribosomal RNA (504 nucleotides) under uncultured bacterium. RNAcentral describes it as "bacterial SSU rRNA". It matches the Rfam family "Bacterial small subunit ribosomal RNA", at positions 24 to 518 of the family's 1533-position model. The record is from RNAcentral.
UCAGGAUGAACGCUAGCUACAGGCUUAACACAUGCAAGUCGAGGGGCAGCAGAUCGAAAGCUUGCUUUGAUGCUGGCGACCGGCGCACGGGUGAGUAACGCGUAUCCAACCUUCCCUAUAGUAGAGAAUAGCCCGGCGAAAGUCGGAUUAAUGCUCUAUGUUGUAUUUAGAAGACAUCUGAAGAAUACCAAAGGUUUACCGCUAUAGGAUGGGGAUGCGUCUGAUUAGGUUGUUGGCGGGGUAACGGCCCACCAAGCCCACGAUCAGUAGGGGUUCUGAGAGGAAGGUCCCCCACAUUGGAACUGAGACACGGUCCAAACUCCUACGGGAGGCAGCAGUGAGGAAUAUUGGUCAAUGGACGGAAGUCUGAACCAGCCAAGUAGCGUGCAGGAUGACGGCCCUAUGGGUUGUAAACUGCUUUUAUACAGGGAUAAAGUGAGGGACGUGUCCCUUUUUGUAGGUACUGUAUGAAUAGGGACCGGCUAAUUCCGUGCCAGCCGCCGC